This 6820-nucleotide long non-coding RNA is filed under the name Sus scrofa (pig). RNAcentral's name for it is "lncRNA (ENSSSCG00025075057.1)". The record is from RNAcentral. Lineage: Eukaryota; Metazoa; Chordata; Mammalia; Artiodactyla; Suidae.
UCCCGCGUUGCUCUGGCUCUGACGUAGCUGGUGGCUACAGCUCCGAUUAGACCCCUAGCCUGGGAACCUCCAUAUGCCGUGGGAGUGGCCCAAGAAAUAGCAAAAAGACAAAAAAAAAAAAAAGAAAAAAGGCUAAAUUAUGAGAAAGGUAAGUAACAUAGUCCACAGAAGAAAAUGAUUAAAAAAAUGCCAUCACCUCAGUGUUUUUCAGUAUACCAAAAUAUUACCUAAAUACAAAACAAACAAAUAUUAUUAUAAAAUAAGCACCUUGGUGUAUGUGUAUGUGUGUGUGUGUGUGUGUGUGUGUGUGUGUGUGUGUAUGAACAGCAUAUAUAUACAAAAUACACAACAUAGCAAACAAAGCAAGAGUAAAAUGGAGAAAAAAAAACUCCCAGAACAUUUUGCUCUGUUCUCCAGGCUAUGGGCUCAAUUUCAAACAACUGUUAAAAGGAACAACUCACUUGAAUAUUUUACCCCAUGAUUUCACAGUCAGCAGAGCAAGGCCCUCACCUUAUAUUGGAUGUACUGAACGUAGAAUCAUACACAGAGAUUGUGUUUGUGUAUGGACAUCAUAAGGCAGGGAAAAAAAUGGAGCAAUAAAUGGAAGAAACUGAAACUCCUGAGUGGCAUGUUGAGAGUCCUUUCUUCGUAAUGGUGAGAAGGUCUGAAGAGCAUGGCUGUGAGAGGGAACCAAAGAGGACAUGAGUCACGUGGUUUAGGGACAGAUCCUGAAGGGCGAUGACAACCAGAGAUAAACAUAUGAAAGCCAAGGGAGACUUAAGGGAAAUGAUGAUUAUUAUUUUUUUUUUAAUUUGAUGCUAUUCUGUUACACUCUUUUAUUUGAGGCAAGGUGAAAAAAGAGUCAUGGGACAUAGGUUAUACAAUAAAGACAGAACUCAGAAGAGACCAGGAUGUAAGAAUCAAAUCACCAAGAAACACAGUAGUCGCCUGCAAAUCUUGGGAGAUACUGUAAAGCAGAAAGGGGAACUAGAAUCUCUCAGUUUGGAGGACUGGGACCUACCGUAAGUUAUUUUAGAAGUUCAGUGGUGAGGGUAACUUCAGAAGAUUUGAAGAUUUAGUAGUUCAUGGGUUUAUGACCCUUGGAUUAUAUAAUGAACUAUUAAACUUACUUCCUAAAUAUUUCCUUACAAUGUCUUUACUUCUUUUCUAUUCCUACUAACACUGAAAUGUUCUCUGAACUUUUUUUGACCUUUAUACUUUUCCUCCUUUCCAUCUUCAACUCCCAUAAUUCGUCCUUCCUUGGUAAUGCUAGCCAAAAUGAACACUUCAAAAAUAAUAUUAUCUGAGAUUUUCACUGUCUUAGGCAAAAAUAACAUUCAUGCGGCUUAUGAUAUAUUUGGACUUAAUUCCACCAUAUUAUUCAGGUUUUAUGUUUACCAUGCUUAUUCUUCAUUCUUUCGUCUUGAUUAACAACAGAUUGAUAAAAAAAAAAAACUUUCCCUAAUUUUGCUUCAACGUUAUAGUUCUGUUAUUUUAUGGAUGGCCCUUGAAUUUUUAGCAUGUAUGCCCAACUUUUCCUCUUUCGAACCAAAUUUCAAUUUACCUCUAUUUCUACCUGUAUCUGCAGGACUGCAGGAGAAUAAAUUUCUGUUGUUUUAAUCCAUCCAGUUAAUGGUACUUUGUUUCUGCAGCUGCAGGAAAACAAUACAUGUCAUUUUCCUACUGACCUCAGGGUGCUCUCUUCUCUCCUUGAAACUUCUAUACCCAGAGCUUUUCACUAACUCAGUUAAAUCCAUUUUUGAAAUUUCAUUUCAGCUUACUGUCACUUUCGCUCUGCCCUCCUUCACCAGGUAGGAUGAUGUUAUGUACUGUCUUUGAACACUGCAUUUUUUAUAGCAUUUCUCACAAAUGUAACUAAGACUUAAUAUAGCUGUUGUUUACUGUUUAUCUCCUCCACUAGAAUGUGAGCUCCACGAGUGCAUAUACAGUUCAGCACUCUACUCUUAUCAACUAAGACCAUAUCUAUUUCGUGGUAGGUUAUAAAUAAAUGCAUGUUAAAUUAAAUAAUAAUAUACUUGGUAGCAAGGCUAAUUUCAGGGUACAGACAUUCCUAAUUUGGAGGCUAUAUCUUCUCAGGAAUAACUAGGUGAGAUAUUUUUAACUUCAGAAGAUCCCUAAAUGCUAGAUGCACACAUGCUAGUGUCAGGUUAAUACAUAAAAUAUAUAUUUCUUAUUAUAGUGCUUUCUUUGAAGGGAUUUAAUUAUAGUUUCCAUCAAUGUCAGCUAUCCACCAGAACCACAGUCAUAGCUUAAACAAUAUUUGAUUUUGCUGCUUGAAUCUUUUUUCCUUCAUUGAGAGAAAUCUCAUUUUUGUUCAACUUCCACUUGCUUUUUUUCUGUAGACAUUUUUGUAGACUUUACAUAAUACACAUCUUUUUCAGGGGGCCCUCUUCUCUACUACUCUUUAUACACAUGAGCAUAGAACACAGAGUCCCUCAAGUAGUAGGAGGAGAAGACAAGUGUAAGGAUGUGAAGAAAAUAAAAACACUAGGUAUCAAAGGGUUUCCCAAUUCCAGGGAAAUGGCCUGAAGAUGGUUGCUACCAACCAGGAAACACAGAGAAUGGUAUGAACUGAAAGCAUGAUUAUAAAUGAGUUUGGCAAUGAUUCUGUAGAAGGGGGCUCGGGAGAGAAUCACAGAAAUUUCUGAGCCAGAAUACUUACGAAUGGACAAGACUUGGUCAGAUAAACAACAACAUCAAAAAAGGCCUCUUCUGGUUUACAAAUAGAACUUUGGAAAAAGUUUUUCUGCCACUGCUGCAAAACUGCCUUCACAGUGUGGAGAAUUCAUUAAUCUUGGCAAUCCUUACUUGCUCAGUGGAGACUGAUUGUAGCAGCUGUAUCCAAGCAUGGCCUUUCCCUUGGAAAGUGUUACGUUUUUAAAGCACUGAGCCUCAAACUCAGAUUCCUCCAAAUAAGAAUACCCAAAGAAACUCUUGGCAAAAUAAUAAGAGUUUUGCUAUACCCUAUAAGAGCUAUACCCCCAAGAGUUUUGAAGUAGAGUAGGUGGGAAUCAAAAUUUAUCUUUUUUGGUCUUUUUAGGGCCGCACCCAUGGCAUAUGGAGGUUCCCAGGCUAGGGGUCCAACAGGAGCUAUAGCUGCCGGCCUAUACCACACCCACAGCGAUGCAGGAUCCGAGCCGUGUCCGUGACCUACACCACAGUUCAUGGCAAUGCCGGAUACUUAACCCACUAAGCGAGGCCAGGGAUCAGACCCACCUCCUCAUGAAUCCUAGUCGGAUUUGUUAACUGCUGAGCCACAAGAGGAACUCCAAAAUUUAUCUUUCAAAGUUUAAAAUCAGUAAGCCACAAAUACUUUUUGGUGACCAUAAACUGGGAGAAUUCCCCCUUCAAUGUGAAAUGCCUUCUUUUAAUAUGCAACAUCAAAAUCAUGUCCACUAUUUUUUUUUAUAUCUAAAUUAACACAUGCCCUUGAGACACAAUCAGCUAACAUAAACAUAUCUUUCCUCUAGUGUCACACUAGAUCUUGUAAGGACUGAUGUGAAAUGACAAUGGUAAACUCACUAGUGAACGAUGUGUUCUAGAGAGACAUAUAUUGCUAGUACUUAUAAUCUAAAUCAAGUUUUUCUAGCAUUGUAACUUAUGUCAACUUUCAUUAAAUGCUUUUAUUACUUUUCGGCGAAUGGUUAACAACACGUAAUUUCAGGAAAAUGAGUUAUUCUGUGCCUUUUAAUUUUCUAAGAAUUGGGGCUAUAUCCUUUCAUGAAUCAGAAUUUUUGUAUUUUUAUGUUACGACCACAUUUUAAAAGUUAAGGUAAAUGAGUGAUUAAGGUAAAUGAAUUUCUGAAAAGAGCAUUAAGGAGAUCCUCUAUGAGUUAAAGAUCUGGACGUUAGUAAAUGUGAACUUAUACUAACCAUUUUCAUCACAAGUACACAGCAACCUAUAAGAUAUUCUCUGUAAUAAAAUACCACAAAUUCAUAGGGAAACAAAAGCAUUUUUCUCAUAAAUCUUCACUAUUCUUGCCUCUGACUGCAAACUGGCUAGGCAACUUCACUGAGGGCUGAGCUUUCUUAUAAGUCUGUGUUUCAGUUGAGGAUCAGCAGGUGUGAUUUGAAUCUAUGCUUCAUGCUGCAGAUUUUCAGAUCAGCCAUGCUCUCCCCCAAGGAUGUCUUAUCUUCCUGGAUUAGAAGGCUAGCUGCAUGUUCUUCUCUUGAGGGCAGAAAUUCCAACAGCAAGCCCAUUCAUGUCAUCAUUUCUUUGCUUUUUUGCCAUGUCCAUUCAAAUAUCCAUCAGCCAAACCCAACACAGCACUAAAGAACAGACUAACAUUUGUGAAAGGAGCUGCGAAAUUAUGUGACAAAGCUUAUGAAUUCAGAGAGUGAUGAAAAAAUUAUGACACACUUACUCACUCUGCCACAGGCAUCUUUUAAAUUUAAUUGGUAAUUUGUUUCUCAAUUGUUCUUCAAUAACAGAAAUGGAGGAAUAAUUGGUCUGAUGGUUAGGACUGAGAAGAGCCAUAUAUCCUUAGUUUGUUCCACUUUUACUGUUCUUCUAAAGGAGAGCAUUAGUGUAGAUAUGAAUUCUGGGCAGGCAAAAUAGAAGAAUCUAAUAUUGGAAAGUAUAAUCAUUACUGAAAUAGUAGAUAGAUAAGAAUGAUUUCUAGUGUUCCUGAGUAUGUGGGGGUACUGAAGACUGAGGUUGGGCUUAACACAGAGAAGCAAAUUAAAAGAUCUGCACUGCCCUAGGAAAACUACAGUCCUUAUAACUCAAGAGUUGAAAGAUUUAUUUCCCUGUGGACCAAGGUUUCAGCAGAUCAAUUAAUAGAGCAUGUUCUUCUUUUCUGCUGCCAUGUGCAGGAAGAAAAAUGUGUUGAUUAUGCCAUUUCAGAGUACUGUAUACACAAAGUCAACUUUAUGGGCUAGUUUAACCUACAGUGCAGGACUCAGAAACUGGGAACCCGAAAAUAAUCGGUCUCUGUCCACUUGGCAGUAUGAACUAUCAUGAAGUCCAGUGGUUGGCAGACAGGAUCUGGAGCCCAGAGUGGCUCUCGCUUCACAGCUUCUGAUCAAAGGGAUGACGGUCCCUAAACUCAGCAAAGUCUGAGAAUCAAAUUACUAUAAAACAUAUGCCGUAAAAUUUACAAAAGGCUUAGAGUAAUGUAAUCUUUCCCUUCUAGGCAAGGAAAUGAGCACUGCUAAAAUGUGUAGGUUUUACAAUACUGCAAAGGAAGGAAAAUGCCAUUAAUAUCAUCAAAUCACCCAUAAUGGGUCCUCUUUCAGCAUAGGGCUAAUUUUCUCUUUGGCCUCCUCCACUAGAGAAUGAUUUUUCUGUGUGGAGCCUCUGUUAGGUUAAUGGCAGACUUCUUGAGUAGUAAAGCAAUAAAUUGGCCCCUUAUUAUUAACCUGGCUUCCUUUAAUUUUGUGAUUUUUAUAACAGUAUGAAAAGAUGUAAUAUUCUUUGAAUAAUUUCUAUGUAUUCAAAGGACUUAUUAGUUCUAAAAUACAUAGUUAAAUAAAAAUAAUAGCUCCUUUCUAAUGUGACAUGAUAAUGUUGCAGAGUAUAUCUUUAUGCAUUAGAGCUGAAAGUGACCUUGGAUGUAUUAAAUCUAACUUUUUACUAGGGUAGAAAUCUCUUUUAAAAUAUUUCUGAAAGAAUAUCACCCACUUUUUAUUUUAUUUUAUUAUUUUUUGUUUGUUUGUUUUUUGUCUUUUUAGGGCCGCACCCAUGGCAUAGGAAGGUUCCCAGGCUAGGGGUCUUAUCGGAGCUGUUGCUGCCGGCCUACACCAGAGCCACAGCAAUGCCAGAUCUGAGUCACAUCUGCGACCUACACCAGAGCUCAUGGCCACACCAGAUCCUUAACCCACUGAGCAAGGCCAGGGAUCAGAACCUGCAACCCCAUGGUUCCUAGUCAGAUUUGUUUCUGCUGUGCCACAACAGGAACUCCCACCUUUUUUUUUUUUUUUUUUUUUUUUUUUAAUGGCCGCACUCCAAGACCAGGGAUCAUAUCCAAGCCACAGCAACCUAUAUCACAGCUGUAGCAACUCCAGAUCUUAACCCACUGCCCCAGGCCAGGGAUUGAAUCCACAACUCUGCAGAGACCUGAGCUACUGCAGAUAGAUUCUUAACCCAUUACACCACAGCGAGAAUUCCUGUUGUCAUCUUUCUGAUGGAGCACUUUCAGUCAAUGAGACUUCCAAGAGACACAGAGCAAAAUGUGGUGGGAAGCCUGACAAUAUCCAUAAAAUAAGCUGCAAACAAAAUGCAAAAAAGAAAGGAAAAUAGAAAUUGAUGGAUAAAAUAUUUCCCUGAAUGAGAAAUUUAAAGUAUUUUCACUUCAAUUUUAAUUUAACUGUGUAUUUGUAUCUCCUCCUCCAGAUUGUAAUUUUGAAGAAGGAACGGAAGCUGUGAAAAGUGAAUAGUCAGCAAUAUUUAUAGUGUUGAAGAAAGAAUCUGGUUUUCUGGAACACAGCCUGUGAUAGCAGAACAACGCCUGGCAAGAAAUAGGUUAUGUUUGGCUGGAGAGUAACUGGCACUAUCAAGAAAUAUUAAAGUGGAUAUUUGAGAGAAGAGAAAGACCCAAGCAAAACUGCAAACCAGGUGGGACCAAGAGAGCAACAGGACAAUGGAAGUAUAGUUUGUCAGUCGACAUAGAGUUAACACACAAUUUUGUGCCUCUUCUUCUGGUCAUAGAACUGGUAGUACCAUUCUUCGCAUUUAACUUAAUGAGUUAUGAAAAAUUCUCAAGCUUCACUGGUGGAACUUGCUACUUGCUUUCAAAAUGUAAGAUAUAAGAACUUUCCAACAGGGCUCACAAUAUGUCACAAUGUGUCACAGACAUAU